Molecule: long non-coding RNA, 995 nt
Organism: Homo sapiens (human)
Lineage: Eukaryota; Metazoa; Chordata; Mammalia; Primates; Hominidae
Exons: 3
Source: RefSeq, a predicted model, not a curated record
ACAAAAUUUACGAUAUACAAAAUGUAGUCUCAAAGACUAAGCUAUUAAGAGUGACUUUCCCCCCUAUAUAUUAGAAAGACAGAUGCAGAUAGCUAUAGAUAGCAGGAGUUGUCAUGAAAACUCACAGAGAACUGAGGAAGCUUGUAGAUGCAGCUCAGUAGCUACAAGGAAACUCGUAGACACCAAGUGCUUUGGUCAUCGUAUGCAUUUAAUUAUAUGAAUUUCUGAAAGUUUUUGGAAUGAAUGUGUGAAAUCUUCCUGUUCUUGAUAUUUCCUCUAGCUGACUUCAACAUUCCAAGCAUUAAUUAAUUUAAAAAAGACAUCAGAAGCCAUGCCAGAGAGACUCUUUGUCACAGUCUGAUUAUGAAUCUGGAAUGACAAGAAGAAAAAUUUGAACACAAAGAGACACCAAAGAUGCUAGUGCAGAUAAGAGACCAUGUGAGGACAGUGAGAAGACAGCUCCUUGCAACUUAGGAGGGAGGCCUCAGAAGAAACCAACCCUGGUGACAUAUUGAUCUCAAACACCUCGCCCUAGAAUUGUGAGGAAAUACAUUUUUGUUGUUGAAGUCACACAAUCUGUGGUAUCUUGUUACACCAGCUCUGGAAAACGAAUACAGGAAUUUUCUGGAUCAUUAUGGAGGAAGAGGGGGAGCCCAAACAAAACACCGGACUCUGAAACAAGUCGACAGAAAUCGGGCUUUGGGAGACUGAAACACACGUAAUUUUCAAGGUAAAGUAAUAGAAUGAGGCAGAGAAUAACUGUCAUAGAAAGAACGAUUACCAUAAAGCUGUAAGGUGAACAAUUCCCAGAGCUCACACAGGGCUGUGACUCCUUCUAAACAGCCAGAGUAAAGAAAUCUUGUUUAAUAUCUGGGGAAUUCAGUAAGAACCCCAGAAGCAUGAUACCUCUGUACUAAACAUAAACUAGGCCUAGAAUAAAGGUUAAUUUCGGCUGCCUUUUAAAAUCCUUCAAAUUAAGCCUCAACAUAAUCAAA